GAUGAACGCUGACAGAAUGCUUAACACAUCAGCCAUUGAUUGGUGGCGGACGGGGGAGUAACGCGUAAAGAACUUGCCUCACAGCAAGGGACAACAGUUGGAAACGAAUGCUAAUACCUAAGACUGUGAGAGAGCUGUGCGUCCCAUGAGCUAGUUGGAGAGGGAACGGCUCACCAAGGCGAUGAUGGGUAGCCGGCCUGGGAGGGUGAUCGGCCACAAGGGGACUGGGGCACGGCCCUUACUCAUACUGCGGGCAGCGGUGGGAAAUAUUGGACAAUAGGCCAAAGUCUGAUCCAGCUAUUCUGUGUGCACGAUGAUGUUUUCGGAAUGUAAAGUGCUUUCAGUUAGGAAGCGGUACCAACAGAAGAAGUGACGGCUAACUACGUGCCAGCAGCCGCGGUAAUAC
RNAcentral lists this ribosomal RNA (406 nucleotides) under uncultured bacterium. RNAcentral describes it as "partial 16S ribosomal RNA". It matches the Rfam family "Bacterial small subunit ribosomal RNA", at positions 28 to 526 of the family's 1533-position model. The record is from RNAcentral.